AUUCAAGGGGUGCUCCUUGCGGGCUGAGAUGAUACCCUAUAACCUGAUCCGGAUAAUGCCGGCGUAGGUAUGGAUAUU
Molecule: non-coding RNA, 78 nt
Filed under: human gut metagenome
Description: TPP riboswitch (THI element)
Rfam family: TPP riboswitch aptamer (THI element)
About the family: Vitamin B(1) in its active form thiamin pyrophosphate (TPP) is an essential coenzyme that is synthesised by coupling of pyrimidine and thiazole moieties in bacteria. The previously detected thiamin-regulatory element, thi box was extended, resulting in a new, highly conserved RNA secondary structure, the THI element, which is widely distributed in eubacteria and also occurs in some archaea. Analysis of operon structures identified a large number of new candidate thiamin-regulated genes, mostly transporters, in various prokaryotic organisms.
Source: RNAcentral